Molecule: ribosomal RNA, 253 nt
Filed under: uncultured bacterium
Lineage: Bacteria
Description: partial 16S ribosomal RNA
Rfam family: Bacterial small subunit ribosomal RNA
Source: RNAcentral
UACGUAGGGGGCUAGCGUUGUCCGGAAUCAUUGGGCGUAAAGCGCGUGUAGGCGGCUCGGUAAGUCCGCUGUGAAAGUCGGGGGCUCAACCCUCGGAUGCCGGUGGAUACUGUCGGGCUCGAGUGCGGAAGAGGCGAGUGGAAUUCCUGGUGUAGCGGUGAAAUGCGUAGAUAUCUGGAGGAACACCGGUGGCGAAGGCGACAUCCUGGACCGGUAUUGACGCUGAGGCGCGAAAGCCAGGGGAGCAAACGGG